GAUGAACGCUGGCGGCGUGCCUAAUACAUGCAAGUCGAGCGAACGGACGAGAAGCUUGCUUCUCUGAUGUUAGCGGCGGACGGGUGAGUAACACGUGGAUAACCUACCUAUAAGACUGGGAUAACUUCGGGAAACCGGAGCUAAUACCGGAUAAUAUUUUGAACCGCAUGGUUCAAAAGUGAAAGACGGUCCUGCUGUCACUUAUAGAUGGAUCCGCGCUGCAUUAGCUAGUUGGUAAGGUAACGGCUUACCAAGGCAACGAUGCAUAGCCGACCUGAGAGGGUGAUCAGCCACACUGGAACUGAGACACGGUCCAGACUCCUACGGGAGGCAGCAGUAGGGAAUCUUCCGCAAUGGGCGAAAGCCUGACGGAGCAACGCCGCGUGUGUGAUGAAGGUCUUCGGAUCGUAAAGCUCUGUUAGUAGGGAAGAACAUAUGUGUAAGUAACUGUGCGCAUCUUGACGGUACCUGAUCAGAAAGCCACGGCUAACUACGUG
RNAcentral lists this ribosomal RNA (497 nucleotides) under uncultured bacterium. Its description in RNAcentral is "partial 16S ribosomal RNA". It matches the Rfam family "Bacterial small subunit ribosomal RNA", at positions 28 to 507 of the family's 1533-position model. The record is from RNAcentral.